AUAAAACAGUCGAAACAUAAAUAGAAGCAGAUGUCCCAAAUAAGAAACAAGUUUAAUUACAGUGAUAAGCACUCACAUAACCAAUGUAGGGUGCUUAUACUGACCUUAAAUCCACUAUCUAGUCAAUGGAAAAAGGACAUUGCAGAAUGUUUCAACAAGUUCCCUGGUCUUUAUCAAGUCAUCACUGGUUAGUCGAAACAUUGUCACUGCCGAUGUGUAUCUGCAAAGAAAGGUUUGCUCCUGGCUCCUUGUUUGAGCAGGUCUUACUUCACCUGUAAAUAUCCCUUCUUUAUAAUUUGAAAGCGCUGUGGAAUAUGGUGGCGCUAUAUAAACAAUAAUAGUAACAUCCUCGUAAACCUCCAUCUCUGUAUUACUACAGUUUUUGACACUGUUCUGUAUACUGUUCAUUUUAAAGGUGCAAUUCCUAAAAAAAUUGAAGUGGAAAACUAUGCACAACUGCUCUUAACAAGGCUGAAUGAAAUUCCACCUAUAGAGUUUUAGAAUUUUUUUUCUAAACAGAUAAUUGAAAAAAUAAGGUGAAGAGAAUAAUGUGUUGCAAAAUGAGAAAAUUGCAGAAGUGUCAUAUUUUUGUAACAAUUCUUACAGGUACACUACAGGCUGUAGUUGACACCAUUAUUAAAGCAUUUCAAAAUAUGUUAACAAUUUAAAAAGUUUCUUGUCUAGGAAGUUCCUGCAUUUGUUGAAGUCCUCAAUCUUUGCCCAAACUACCCUGACAUCUCUGAGCCAAAUCUAGCUUUCCCAUUGUUUUCAAUGGGUAUUGAGCACAUCCCAUUAACGAAUAACCUGUCUGUGCAUAAGCAGGAAUAGAAGCAGAAAUCCCAAAUAAGGUCUAGAAACAGAUUGAAAUAUAGUGAUAAUCACUCACAUACCCAAUGUAGCACGCUUACCCCAAAUCCACUAUUUAGUAAACGUUAAAAGGACAUGUUCUAACCAGUUCCCUGGUCUUUAUCAAAUUCUCACUUCAUGAAGACCAUUCGAUUAGUCGAAACAUUGUCACUGCAAAAGUGUGUAGCGGAUGGCACUGGGCUGUCCUGAGAAUUACAUGUAUUUGAAUGCAUUUGUGUAAAAUAGCAAAGUUCUAUGUGUUAAAUGUAUUGUAUUCUUCUGAAUGUUAGGUAGUUUCAUUCCCUUUGUUCGAAUGAAACUACCGAACAGUCAGACCUCCCCUGUGGGAAGUGUGCCUUCGAUUACCCGUUGCAACAUUGUUGUGAAUGGGUAAUUGACAUGCUGAGUAGCCGUCCU
Molecule: non-coding RNA, 1263 nt
Organism: Pelobates cultripes (western spadefoot toad)
Lineage: Eukaryota; Metazoa; Chordata; Amphibia; Anura; Pelobatidae
Source: the annotation of a GenBank genome assembly